Long non-coding RNA from Felis catus (domestic cat), 9455 nucleotides. RefSeq lists it as uncharacterized. NCBI's taxonomy places the organism in Eukaryota, Metazoa, Chordata, Mammalia, Carnivora, Felidae. The transcript is spliced from 2 exons. The record is from RefSeq and is a predicted model, not a curated record.
GAGAUCAUGAUGUGAGUCGAAGGACGCUUAGCCGACUGAGCCACCCAGGCGCCCCAGAAAUGUUUAUCUUUUUAACACUACUCUCUGGAAAACAGCAGUGUAAGCCUUUAGUAAAAUGCUACGGGCUAUUCUCCUUGAACAGUAGGGAUAGAACUGGGAGGAGGGGGGCUGCUGUGGCACCUGUGUAGACAGAUCAGCUGCAGCUCAGUUCCUGUCAGUGGUGCCGUGUGGAAUUGUGGACCUAGUGUUGCCUUAUCUUCUGAUUUUUCAAGAGGGCUGAAAAUACAGAUUUUUAUUUAAAACCCUCCCAGUUUUUCAAUGCUAGUGACUAAUCUAAAUGUCUUCAGAGUCAGUACUAUGCUGAAUGCAUAGUGGCACAUCCAGAGGGACCGUCGGAAGGGUUUGAAGCAGAGGCAACCGGAUCACAUACUCCAUUUUGGAAGUUCGCGGCUACAGAGGAUGAAAUGAAGAAAGUUUGUUCUGUGAGGCCUCAGUGAAGGUUCAGGCAACAGUUGAUCGGGACUUAAAAGGAAUCUGUGGUGGCCAAGUGAAGAAAAGGGGAACAAUGAGCUGGGAUAAAAAAGUACAGGAUAAGCCUCAAGAGAUCUGGUGCUGUUCUUUCCUAUGUACUGUCCAAAGUAAGGGCCCUUCCCUUCACUGCACUGGAAGGAGAAGAUUGCUCUUGAUUACCUCACACUGCCCCUCCGUCCUCCCAGCUCAGCUGACUUGUGCUCCUGCUUCAGACUGCUGCUAAGCACUUGAAGACAGAGUAGGUGCUUAGACAUAACUCUCAUUUAUUCGAAUGUUUAACUACUUAGGUAAUUCUGCCGUUCCCCAAAGUUACAUCUUAAUGUAGAAUAUUCAUUAAUACCUUGAAAGGCCCUGAAACGUCCUUUAAAAGGAAUUUCGGGAGCAAGUAAACAUUUGUGUAAGCCCACCACACCAAAUUAAAAGCUUCUUUCUCACAUAUACAAGAGUGGCCCUUUGUAGGAGAAGGCCAACCAGCUCCCAUAAGCCUCUUGAAUUUCUCUGGGCGAACACACCAGCAUAUGGCAUUGUUUCUGUGUUGCUGUAAUUUAUGUAAAUGCGUUGUCAGAGAUGAAUUAAAACUUAUAGUUGUAAAUCUACAAGGACACAGCUGUAACUCACACAGAUUUAUCACUUGUGGACGCGUAUAUCAAGCCUCUGGAAUUACUGCCUCUACCAUAGACAGAGGUUAAAGAAGAAGGUAACAGCUUACAUGCCAUUAUACAUAUACAGCAGUUUGUCAUUCAUCGGUGGUGGUAGGAAUACAAAAUAUAGCAGGUGGACCGUCCUUCACCCAACACCAUCUAAUCGACAGAUUGCAGUAAGAAUGCCGAAAGAGAGAUCACCAGAUGACGAGUCAGAAAACUUCGCCUCACAUCCAGUCACUAACUCUGUCACUCAGACUUUUCCAAGCCUGCGUUUACUUGGGCUCAGACUGCUUUUCAAAAACCUGUUAAUACCGCCUCCGGCAUGCUCUGCAUGGUUUUUGCGAGGUGGCCGUACGUUCAUUCAUUCAUUCAACAAAUGUUUAUUGAGUGCCUACUGUAUGUCACUCACUUGUGUUAGGCUGAAAGAAAUAAUGGAGGCCAACAUCCUUAUUUUUGGCCAAAAAGCUAAGGGAGGUCAGAAAGAUGAGGUGCUUUACAGAGGAUGUGAAAGAGCUUUUGGAAAAUUGUGAAAUGCAUACAAGGGGAAAUCAUUAUUAAUUGUAAGACAAAGGCAGUAUCUCCUUUAUAUGAUGUGUGUGCUUAGUUCUCCUGAUGUUCACACCUGCCUUGGAGUUCCUUUUAUAUACAACUUCACUCGCACUGUUUUAGCAUUGUUCUUCCUAAACCAGGUGACAUAUCAGAAUCACGUAGGAAAUUUCAAAAUGGAUUUUCCCUACCUCAGACCUCUGAAUGAGAUUCUCUAAGGCAGGGCCCUAGAUUUCUACAUUUUUAUAGAAUACUGGCAAGUAGUUCUAAGGCAGACUGGAGUUGAGAACCUCUAGGUUUACUGACUGAAAGGGCAGAUUAUAUGAGGAACAAAAAAUAUGUGAAUUUUUGUGAAUUAAUAUUUUAAGUCCACAGGGCCUGUAAAAUUAAUUUAAAAAAAUAAAAACUUGCAUCAUAUAGACUAAAAUGGAGACUUAGGAUGGCCUUAGUGGAAUUUGAUUUGUGUGGGAGGUAUCACCAUGGAAAAGGCAGUGUAGCAAUAUUAAAGGUUUAGGGGAGAAAAACCAGUCAUAAUCCCCCCCACAAAGAUUUUACACUUAUAUAUUGCUUAUUCACAUGUAUAGCAACUUGUAGAUGUUUGUAGUCAUGGUCUAUAUUUCCCUAUAUUUGCUUUGAAAUAUAACAUAAAAUUAUAAUGUUUUAGUUUAUGCGGUUUUAGUUAACUCCUUUCUGUGUAGAAAUUUCUCUUAUCAUCUUGAGCUGAGCUGAGGCCAGAAUCCCUAGAUUUUCAUAUUGCAUUUGAGAAUUUUCCUGUUACGUUAGGCCAUCCCACCCUGACAGAACAUGAAGCAGCUACUCUUAGGUACACAGAUAGCCUCAUUUUCUCCCCACAGUGCCCUUUUUGAUGACUUUUCUGUUCUUCAAAUUACAACAGAAGGGAGCCCCUACCAGAUAAAAUCACUAACUGAAAGUGUACUUACGGAAGUCAUCAAUAUCUUAUUAACCCCUUAUAGCUUUGCCCCUAAUUGGGAGUUUUCUCCAGUUACUCCAGUACAACACACAAUUCAAGAGUUUUCUGUCUCUGGAUAGCUCUCAUGAUAUAGUAGGAUCUUUUCUGUUCAUGAUAAAGUAGGAUCUUUCCAUUCAAAUAAUUUAUUAAUUUAGUAGAUAUUAAGAAUUUACUGUGUAUCAGCUACUAUGUCAGUGCUGCAAACUACUGAAAUAAUAUAUUUCUAUUUAAUGGUUAUGAGGAAACUAAUGCCUCCUCUAGAAAUAGAAGUUCAUUCUUAGCUACCUUGCUUUUCUAAGUGGUGAAUCCAGUGAAAUUCCCAGGAUGAGUCACUUCCACAUAUGGGGAAAACACUCACUAAGCAUUUAGUUUGUCAGUAUGUCCUUAAUAAUAUACUAAAAGGAAUUCUAUAUCAAGAAGAUUUUAUAGCAGAGCAACAAGAGACAAGACUAGGCCAGAGCUAGGUCACAGAGGCCCUUGUGUCAUGAUGAGAAAUUAUGGUAUUAUCCUAAAUGUAGUGGGAAACUAUUAAGGGUUCUAAGCAAGUGACUUGAUCUGAUUUAACUGGUGUGUGGGGAACGAAUUGAAGGAAGACAAAAGCGGAAAUGGGAAGACCACUUACAAGGCCAUCCAAAGGUAUUUCAGGCUAGAGAUGACAACAGUCUAGACUGGAGGGAGGAUCGUGAAGAUAGAGAAAAAUGAACCGAUUUGAGACGGAUUUGAGAGAGCGAAGUUUUGAGGAUGAUUUCUAGGUUUUGGUUUGAGCAACUGCAUAGCUAGGGAACACUGGAAGAGGAGCAGAUUCGUGGAAUAAGGAGCGGUAGACAAUUGUGUUUUAUGCUAAUUUUGAGGAGCCUAGUAAACAUUCACGUGGAGCUCUUACAUGGCUUUAGAGACAAACAAGUAGACAUCAUUGAUACGUUCAUGCGUUUACAGCCGUGGCUGUGGACAAACAGACCGUGAUAAGAGAAGCUUGGAUAGAGUGAGGAGGGAUGGGACAAAGUCCUAAAAAAAGGUCACCAUUUAGGGAUGAGAUGGAAGAGGUGCAUCUUGCAAAAGCAUGAGAAUGGGUGGUUGGAGGGCAUGAAGAAAAGCAGAAGACUGUUGUGUCUUAGAUACAAAAAGAGGAGAGUGUCUCCUGGAGGAAAAGCUACUGAAAGGUCAAGAAAGGUGACAAUUACUUGAAGCCCAUCAGAUUUGGCAACAGAAGGUCACUGGUGACUCUAAAAAGUAGCGUCAAGUGCCGUGGUGGGGCUGGAAGCCUGACGGCAGUGAUGCCAUGAGCAGCCAGGCUUGCGUAGACCACUCUUUCAAGAAGCUUGGUUGGAAAAACGAGAGAGAAGAGACAUAGCGAGGAACAAAUGUGACAUCAAGAGAGUUUUGCUUUUCAAGAUGUUUCUCUUUUUUUAAUGUACUAUAGAAUAUUUGACUUUUUAAGGGUAACACCUGACCCAUGGUUUACCCAAGUGAAACAUUUAGCAGUAGAAAAGGGUUUAAAACAGGUAUGAAAGAUGCUGUUUUGGAUUGACCAUGGAGAGAACACUCCUACAUGUUUAAUGCCAACCUAGAGAGAACACAGGUGGCAUGAGAUCUAUGCUAAUGAGAAACGAAAGACCAUUCAGACAGGCCUUUGAAGCCACAGACUAAGACGAAGAGCAAUACCUUCGUAUCUAACUUUAAUAAGGGACAUUUGCCCAGGGAUUUCAGAGACAUGUUACUAAUUUGGUGGAUUUCAAAAGCAUACAGCUUCUGAGUAUUCUUAAAUGAAAUUAUUCAACAAUCCUGUGCCUCUAGGAUUAAAGGGCCUAUGUUUUCUCUAAGGAUGGAGCGCUAUUGGCUAUAUAUUUGACUUACCAAAUAUAUUUAAUAUAAAGAUAGCAUGGCCAUAGCAUUCUUUUCAUAUUAGCGAGAAGGGUUUCAUUUUGAUAAGCAUAGUUUUUAGAGGUUUUCUCUUAAUUUUCUCCAGACAAGAGAGGUAGGUUCAGGGUUCAGUUUGCGUUUCUGAAUUUCCACCAAGAUGCAGGUGGCCUCCUAGGCUUGAGCUGUUUUGUUUUUUUUUUUCCUUAUGGUUUAGCCAUCUCACCAAAGAAAGAGCUUCACUCUGAUUUUUCACCUUUUCCAUAAAGCAAAUAGAGAGCUGUUUACAACAGCCUUUGUCUGGCUUUGGCAUUGAUUUUAAAUCACCUGGAUUGAUCAUGUGGUUAUGGGACUUUAGAAAAUCCCACCAAACACCAAAGCCUCUAAACACAAUUAGAAUUGAGGGGUUUUUGAUCUGCUAGCAUAAUGUCUAUAGGAGUCCAUUUUAAAUUAUCUUUAACUUCUGCUCAGGUUAGGUGGGAAAAAGCACUGUCCUAAUGCAUGGUGUCUGGGGUUUUGUAGGUGCUCUCAAGCACGUAGAAACGUUUCUAGUUUUCAAAAUGAGGAAGCAGCUAAAAUCUGUCUCGGAGUGUUUCACUGCCUAGGCAGUUUCCUCAGCCAAUGAGAGGAAGAUAUGCAAAUCAGCCAGCUGUCCGGUCACACACUCCUGGUUCGCAGGACCACGCAGGACUCAGGCAAGCUGAUCUCAACCAGAUUUGACAAAGAGGUGGAAGGUCUAAAAUGAAAUAGGUCAACACAGAUUCUCUAAUAAUAGGUAGAUGUGAAGGGACGAAGAGGGAUCCCACAGGAAAGCUGCUUUCUAAAGACUGCUGAUAUCCCUGCUUUUCUUUUCAGAUUUCUCCUCAUCAGUGGCACCUGUGUCUGAACCUUCUUAUCUGCUGACGAAACACUUCCUAUUUUCCAUUAAUUACCUUUUAGAUUAUUUCUAGAAGAUCGGCGUCUAACAAAGUAAAUAUUUAUAAGGAUUCAAACUGCUUUAAGAAACCGACUUUGCCUUUCUUAUGGGAGGUAUUUUUCUAAGGCUUGUUAUAGUACCUCAAUUUUGUUGUCAUGGUGACUAGAUAAUAGAAUAUAACUUUUCAAAAAUGAAAACCUGCUUUUAACCAGAUCCUUCCAACCAAGUAGUCAUAAAUAUAGAGUUUAGAGUGGACAAUUUAUGCUCAAUUUCUCUCCUAGCUAAAAUCAAAAUUUACUUUACAGAUACCCGCUUUCAAUAAUUAAACACACACACACACACACACACACACACACACACACACACACACACAGAGUAAACUCCCUGCCAGUCUCCUAAUAGUAAAACAUAGUAAGCACCAACAAAGACAUUGUUGUUUUUGAAUCCAUAUUCUUUCUAGUUAAAAAACACAUGUGCCCAGAAUCAUCAUAAUUUUGGAGUAUUGUUAUGGUAGCGCCUUAAUAAACAGUAUACUGUUUUCCUCAAUAUCUGUACAUAAUUGUCAGUGGAUAAAGAAAAAGAAACAGGAAAGUCUCUUGUCAAUAGCCUGAAAAAAUAACAUUCUUUUGAAGUGUGAUUAAAAUCCUGUAAGAGAUCAGCGCUUUGUUUCCUAAAUUCACUCACAAGACUUUUUACACAAUUGUUGUUUUUCUUUUUUAAUAUUCUUUUGAUGUUAUAACAAUAGAAACAUAUUGCAAUCAUUCCUAUAACAUUAUGUUGGAGGAAUGUUUACAGUAUUUCAUGCUUGAGCUAGUGCACAUUUUAAUGCUUAAAGAUGUUAUUUUAUCUGUUAGAAAAAAAAGCAUUGAUUGCAAAAAAAAAAAAAGGAAAGAAAGAAAGAAAGAAACCUCAAAAUGCUUUCCACUGUGCUUUUUUUCUUCCAGCAGAUUUUCUCCAUGUUUCAAGAAAGAUGGCUUUACAUAGUAACUUAGAAAUAACACCUAAUGAUUAACAGAAUGAUGGAUGUGACGAAUCACCUUUUUCUUGAGAAAUAAUAAAUCAACAUAUUCCUACCCAUAAAUUUUUACUGAAAAAUGAAAUAUUAGCAGCAUAUAUUUAACGAGGUGUCAGAUACACUGUCGACCAAAUGUUGCCCUCAUAACCAGUAGACUACCUUAAAAUGUAAAACCAGUUACAUUUUUUUAUUACAACUAAAGUAAUUCAAAUAUAAUUUAUAAUUUUCUAAAUUUAGUAGACUUUUACUCCUUGUUUUUACUCGUCUAAUCAUAAGCAUGGACAUGAUCUGCUUGAGCAUUAUCAAUAUUAGACCCCAAAGUUAAGCAAAUAAAACCUCCUGAUGUAGAGGUUUUUACUCAUGAAAUUUUUAGUUAGGCUUUAAUUUUAGGAUUAUAAACUGAAAUAUUCAAAAGAGUUGCCCUUUUUAUCCUUAAGUGGUUCCCCCUGGCCCCUGUUUAGGUAGCAUUUUUUUUUUCCCCUUCCUCUGGUUUUAUUUUUAGGCAGUCUUUAUAUUGAAUUCUGUUUGGAUUUUCUGGAAGCUUAUUUGAAGGGUGAAUUUGUGAAUACAAAUUGAUUGUUAGUUGCACAGCAAGUUUGCUUUAUUUCCAUUUUGGGGGUGUUUUUUCUUGAGUAGCCAUAGUGUAUGAUGGGAAGUGGAGCAGGGCAGUGUCCUUCCCCUGGCUGUAUUGAUUUGCCCUUCAGCUGUGUGCAGUGCAGAGAGAACCUCAGGCCUUGUUGUUGAUUAUCUACACAGUGUCUCUGGGAGCAUUAUUGACCCAUUGCCGCUGACUGCCUGUGGCUCUUGAUUUUUCACACCGUCUCCAUGACACUCAUAAUAAAACAUACUAUCUUAUUGCAACUCAGCUCUGGGAGCCAACUGAUUCAGCCGUAGAAUACCACAGUGUUUCUAGAGAACAUUUAUUGUAUGUGGGGUAAAGUGUUGUAGCAAUUUUAGGAUUCUGUCUUGUAUAGUUUUAAUAGCUACCUCUAAAGCAAGAUUCCACACACACUAUUACAUUUUUAUUGUUUUAAGAAAGCCAAUACUAGCUUUGCCUGUAUUGUUAACAGGAAAAUUUGCCUUAUUAGUACAAAAUUAAUUUUAGAACAUUGACAUAAUGAAAGGAAUAUUCUGUUUUAACAUUAGGCUUGAUGUGUGGCUAUAAUAUUCAUUUUCAAAACUAAAUUUUGAAAUAUAUUACAAGGAUUAUGCUAUAACUUGUACUACAGUAAAUGAUAGUUUUUUUUUUUUUCAGAUUUCUGAUUGUAUUUGAAUAACAUGCUCCUAAUUUACUAUUUCCAAUGUAUUCUCCAGAGUACAUUUUAACUUCUGGUAGGGUAUCAAGUUAUAAGAAAUGACAUAACAUCUUUCUUCUUAGUUAUCUUGGAAGACUUUUUAAAAUUUAGGCUGUAAUUAAUAGAAAAUGGAUUUCUUUGAGCAUAUUUUUUUUGUUUAGUAUUGGAGGUUUCAUAUUUUUUGAAAUACCAGAUUAUUUUAAUUUUUAUUUCCUGUUUUUUCCCAAUCCACAGUUAGCAUUAACAAUUCCUUAGUAUCUUAGUGUUGAUUGGUAGUGUAGUGUUUCAAGAAAACUCCCAGAGAUCCUGAGAAAUAGGUUUUGAUUCUGUUAGUACAGAGAGAAUAAAAUGAACGUGUUUCUUAAAGAUACUUUAAAUAGUUUAACCCACUGUAAGUACUGUUAUGAAUAUAAAUGGUAAAAUAGUUCAGAAGAAAACAAUUACUUUUGCCAGAAGUAUCUGGACAUUUUUAUAGAAAAGAUAAGUCAAAGCAAGAGUUUCAGGUUAGGUUAAUAUUGUUGGCCACAUUUUGUUAAAGUUGUUUAAGAGUGUUUUCAUUAGUCAGAACAAACUAAAAUUUCUUUAACAAGCCUAUUUUUAAUAAAUUCAGAUUGGGAACCUUAUAAUAAAGCUAAUUUAUAUUCAUAUGCGUCCAGUUUCACAAAUUCCCUGAAUUAGAGGAUCUUUCAAAAAUGUUUGCCAUAAACCUGUUUAACAGUAUGUUCAAAUUAAUAGUGGCUUACCACUGGAAAAAAUGUUAGUUUGUUUAAAGUUCAGUGAGCUUUGCCUUUUAAUUUUUUAACAUUUCGAAAGCAUAAUUCAUUUGCAUGGGUGGAUUUAGUUUGUGUUUUCUUGUUUUAUCAAAUCUAAAUGUAUGCUUUUUAAAGUACCAAAUUGUCAUAAAAUAAGAGCUUUUUAAGUAAAGUUUUUAGCAAGUAUUGUUUUGGGCUGGUGGAGGCAUAGAGCACGGCCUCAGUAGACUGCCUCCGACAGCGCACAAAACCCCGAGCAACUAAGUUGUCUCUAAUGAGAGCUGUGUUGUUUCUCAGCUCAUUUAUUUUGGGUUUAUGGCCUUUCAUGUAAAUAGAAGCCGAUGGCGGAAAAUCUGAGGAAAAGCAUCCCGCUUCUCAUCCCUCCAAAUGAGGGAUGUAUUCUAUAAAAUUAAAAAAUUAAUUCUCCAUGAUUCUUCAUUCCACACCUCAGUGUUUGGACAUGUGAUGAGGAUCCACGUGAUAGAAUCUCUCUGACUCUCAAACAGAGGCGUUUUUCAAAUCUGGGGACCCAGGCAUAGGCAAUAUUUCAUUCACCUCCGGGUGGCGGGGAAGAACAGAGUACAUUGGACCCAUUGUUAUGCAAGCAGUGGUCGUCCACAGCCAACUUUUACUUAUGUGGACUUAACACCCACAGUAGGGCAGGUUUGAAUUCUGUGUUGGAGUCAAGUAUCAAGUUUACAGUAAACCUUGGUCACCGUGGUUUUUCACCGUCCCACCUGAUGGUUUUUGAUAGCUUGAGGUUUGUGUUCCGCUUAAGCCGGAGUAUUUCAGUGUGUCUUUGGGCAUUCAGACCACUUUAAAGUGUACAUAAGGCUUCCUCUAACCAAGUCAUAGUUAUCAGGUACUGCAAAGGUUAAGCCUUAUCAUCGGCACCAAAAAAAAAAAAAAAAAAAAAAAAGGUGAGGUUU